Molecule: ribosomal RNA, 429 nt
Filed under: uncultured bacterium
Lineage: Bacteria
Description: bacterial SSU rRNA
Rfam family: Bacterial small subunit ribosomal RNA
Source: RNAcentral
ACGAACGCUGGCGGCAGGCUUAACACAUGCAAGUCGAACGCCCCGCAAGGGGAGUGGCAGACGGGUGAGUAACACGUGGGAACAUGCCCAAAGGUACGGAAUAUUCUCGGGAAACUGGGAGCAAUACCGUAUGUGCCCGAAAGGGGAAAGAUUUAUCGCCUUUGGAUUGGCCCGCGUCGGAUUAGCUAGUUGGUGGGGUAAUGGCCUACCAAGGCGACGAUCCGUAGCUGGUCUGAGAGGACGACCAGCCACACUGGGACUGAGACACGGCCCAGACUCCUACGGGAGGCAGCAGUGGGGAAUCUUGGACAAUGGGCGCAAGCCUGAUCCAGCCAUGCCGCGUGGAUGAUGAAGGCCCUAGGGUUGUAAAAUCCUUUCGCCGAGGACGAUAAUGACGGUACUCGGAGAAGAAGCUCCGGCUAACUUCGU